RNAcentral lists this transfer RNA (65 nucleotides) under Dipodomys ordii (Ord's kangaroo rat). It matches the Rfam family "tRNA". From Rfam's summary of the family: Transfer RNA (tRNA) molecules are approximately 80 nucleotides in length. Their secondary structure includes four short double-helical elements and three loops (D, anti-codon, and T loops). Lineage: Eukaryota; Metazoa; Chordata; Mammalia; Rodentia; Heteromyidae. The record is from Rfam by way of RNAcentral.
GGUGGUUCAGUGGCAGAGUGCAUGCCUUGCAUGCAUGAGGCCCUGGGUUCAAUUCCUCAGCACCA